This 463-nucleotide long non-coding RNA is filed under the name Androctonus crassicauda. The record is from RNAcentral. Lineage: Eukaryota; Metazoa; Arthropoda; Arachnida; Scorpiones; Buthidae.
AUUUUUUAGAGACAAAAAUAUAUAUUUGUCUUGUUCAUUCUAUAGUUUAUUAAUUUUUUCCUUGUUUAGACAGUUACAAAGGAUGGUGUUCCACUAUUUUUCUAUUAGUACUAAAAGUGUUCCACUGCUACAAAAAGAAUGAGAACCACUGGACUACACUCAGGAAACAUAAAAGUAUAUUGAAGAGGAUGUUAAUAUGUUCCAAAAUCCUGACCAGUCCAUAGCAUUUCUUGUUAUUAUUUUUGUGUGCAGGGUACCUGUUUUCCUAUCAUCAUCAUUAGCAUUUAUUAUUACAUCCACUAAUGGAUAUAUAUCCCUCCUUUUGUUUCCAGAUGUAUCCAUCUUGUGCAAUCUGCAUCCACUGAGAAUCAAUUACUUUUUUAUAUCAUCUCUCUAUCAUUUGUAUUGCCUGCCAGGAUAUCUUUUCCCUUGCUUUGGUUACCACUCUAUAAUUCUCUUUGUC